UACGGAGGGUGCGAGCGUUGUCCGGAAUCACUGGGCGUAAAGGGCGCGUAGGCGGCGCGGGAAGUCCGUGGUGAAAGCCCGAGGCUCAACUUCGGGUCGGCCAUGGAUACUCCUGGGCUCGAGCACUGUAGAGGCAGGUGGAAUUCCGGGUGUAGCGGUGGAAUGCGUAGAGAUCCGGAAGAACACCGGUGGCGAAGGCGGCCUGACUGGGGCAGUAGCCGAAAGGCUUGAAAGCUGACGCUGAGGCGACGACAGCGUGGGGAGCAACAGG
RNAcentral lists this ribosomal RNA (271 nucleotides) under uncultured bacterium. Its description in RNAcentral is "partial 16S ribosomal RNA". It matches the Rfam family "Bacterial small subunit ribosomal RNA", at positions 524 to 775 of the family's 1533-position model. The record is from RNAcentral.